CUUGGCGCUACAAAUGCCAUGCUCUACCAACUGUGGUACAAAGGACCACAUCAAUGAUGCCUGACCAAAGAUGGUGGAUAAAUAAAGAUCUCCCACUGUCAGUUCCGGUCUGCUUAACAGUGUGGCUCUCUCAUAGGCACCAAUGCAUUAGCAAAUGGGUCUGCUUAGUUCAUUGACUGUAUAUGAACCAGAAAAAAUUAGGGAGUGGGAUGUCUUGCUUCUUCUUCCGUCUCAGGCAUAGGGGUAUAGAUGGGUUAGCUGACAAUGUCACACAAAUUAUGUGUGCACUUCCAUGGGGCAGAGGUCAGUGUGUUGUUGUGAUUUUGGAUGGCCAGAUUGCUGGUAAGAAUUACAAGAACUAGCUCUCUUUCUCACUUUCUUGCUUCUCCAUAAUUUUGGAAGAAAUUAUUAUUUUUCUCACUUUGAGUCAAAUACUCACCACAUUUUAUGCACUGCAGUGCUAGCUAGCUGUAACUUAUGAUUUCAGUACUAGAUAAAUUCUCUCAACCUUUGAUUGGGUGGACAACAUGUCAGUUUAUGCUGCAAGAACUCUGAUAGGUUGGAGGACGUCCUGUGUUUUAUGUUGAAGUCAACAGUAUGUUGAUGUCAUGUAUCAACAGUCUGUUGCCUUGCUGUACCAGUGAGGGUGAAGUCACUACAGUACACACAGUACUGAGCUGGUCAUUUGUGUGGAAGGAAGGACAGCUUGCUUUGGUGUGUGUGUGUGUGGAUAUCCAGGUGUGUAUGGGGGAGAAAGAACAAAGACCGGUGAGGGAGAACAAUAGCACACAACGGUGUAUGUAUAUGUGUGUGUGUGUGUGUGUGUGUGUGGUGGUAACAUCUGGUGCUUGUGGUGUGGUGAGCCCUCAGGCCUGGUGAUAAAUGAUACCUCUCACUGCCAACCUGUCAGCAAGGACCCAGCCAGCCAACGAGGACAGAGCAUAUACACUCUGUUAUAAAGACUACCAAACCUAUACUGCAGAUGGAGUGGGGAGGGAUAUUGCUCAGAUAUAGCUGAUUCAUGCCAGAAAUGACAAAGCCUGGAUAGGUAUUUUACGUAUCAGCUAACCACAUUAUGCUAUAGAAUAUUCUGGGAGAGCCCUGCACUGGCAUGAAUUUUAAGCCCGAAUCAUACCCAUGCCCGUGAUAUUCAAGCCUGCGACAUUUAUAAUCUACCCAGGCCCACCAUUAAUUACCUACCCAGGCCCACGACAUUCAUUACCGACCCAGGCCCGCGACAUUCAGGCCCACGACAUUCAUUACCUACCCAGGCCCACAACAUUCAGGCCCACGACAUUCAUUACCUACCCAGGCCCACGACAUUCAUUACCGACCCAGGCCCACAACAUUCAGGCCCGCAACAUUCAUGAUCUACCCAGGCCUACGACAUUCAUUACCUACCCAGGCCCACGACAUUCAGGCCCACGACAUUCAUUACCUACCCAGGCCCACGACAUUCAGGCCCCACCCGAACCAGGCCUGAUUACUUCUGCAAAUUUAAAGCCUGGCCCUGCCCGAAACCCGAAAUCAUAAAUAACGUCCUCUCUGUCUAUAACUUGCUCCCUGCGAGCAGCUCGCUCUGCAUGCACUCUGUGAGUCGAUGAGUAACCAUAGCAACAGUUCUAGUUGGGCUGUUCUGCUCAAUG
Long non-coding RNA from Oncorhynchus tshawytscha (Chinook salmon), 1646 nucleotides. NCBI's taxonomy places the organism in Eukaryota, Metazoa, Chordata, Actinopteri, Salmoniformes, Salmonidae. The record is from Ensembl.